RNAcentral lists this ribosomal RNA (245 nucleotides) under uncultured bacterium. RNAcentral describes it as "partial small subunit ribosomal RNA". It matches the Rfam family "Bacterial small subunit ribosomal RNA", at positions 26 to 285 of the family's 1533-position model. The record is from RNAcentral.
AGAAUCAACGCUGGCGGCGUGCCUAACACAUGCAAGUCGCACGAGAAAGUGGAGCAAUCCAUGAGUACAGUGGCGCACGGGUGAGUAACACGUGAAUUAUCUACCUCCGAGUGGGGAAUAACUGAGAGAAAUCUUAGCUAAUACCGCAUAACACUUACGAGUCAAAGCAGCAAUGCGCUUGGAGAGGAGUUCGCGGCCGAUUAGCUAGUUGGCGGGGUAAUGGCCCACCAAGGCAAUGAUCGGUA